Molecule: non-coding RNA, 784 nt
Filed under: Euwallacea fornicatus
Lineage: Eukaryota; Metazoa; Arthropoda; Insecta; Coleoptera; Curculionidae
Source: RNAcentral
UAAAAGUUUUUUUGCUUUUAGGUUUCAGGGAAUUUUGAUUUAGAUGCAAGUUUGGGCAAUAAACAAGAAGCAUUUUAAAUAAGGGUUUAUUUAUUUUAAUAGGGCAAUUAUUAAAAUUAAAUUAUUCGGGAGGCCGAGAAAUAGCAGGGAUUUUUGAGUAUAAACAAAAUUUGUGCCAGCAGUUGCGGUUACACAAAUUAUGCAAUGAAAUUUUAUUGGGUGUAGUUAAUCAAUUAUAUACAUUUAAUAGGCUAAAAAAAAUUUUAUUAGGUGAAAUUUUAAAAUUUUGAAAGCUUAAUACGAUAGAGAUGAGGCUAGAAAAUUUUAACGAAAGACUAGGAUUAGAUACCCUAUUAUAAAAAUUAAGUUAUUAAGCCUAGAUUAUUAGUAGUUAAGUUCUUGAAAAUUAAUAGAGAUGGCGGUAUUUUAGUCCAUUCAGAGGAAUCUGUCCUAUAAUUGAUGUUCCACGAUUUUAGUUACUUAAAUUUUUAGCUUAUAUAUCGCUGUAGUUUGAAUAUUUCUUUUGAAUAUUAAUAUUCAUAAAUUUUAAUGAAAGGAUUUCAAGUCAAGAUGUAGCUUAUAUUUAAGAAGAGGUGGAUUACAAUACAUGUAGAUUUGGUUAGAAAGUUGAAAUAUUUUUUAUAAAUUGGAUUUGAUAGUAAUUUUUUAAUAAAAUUUGAAAAAUGAUUUUGGCUCUAAAAUACGUACAUAUCGCCCGUCGCUUUCACUUUAAGGUGGAAUAAGUCGUAACAUAGUAGAUGUACUGGAAAGUGCCUCUAGAAGG